CCAGCUUACCCCUUUGGUCGAUGUACGGGCGAAUGACCACAUUGGGUUGCUCCUGAAGUUUGCUCCCAAACUGGUCGAUGUCCAGGUUGUACCCCCACACUGCAAAGACACAGCCGGGCUUCCUGAGGACGCCCUUGACCACGGCGUAGAACAUUGGGACGUCCAACCAGUGGACCGCAGUCGCCGCUGCAAUGAGGUCCAGCAAACCCUCACCGCUGACAAGGGUGACGACGUCGUCCUCGGAGAGAUCCUCCGACAUGUGAAAGUACCGCACCUUGGAGUGCACGGGGGCGUGCCGAAGCUGGGCCCCGCUCACGUUUGGGGCCAACACGCUGUAGUGCUCAGCGACGCUCACGGAGGCCUGCCCACUGGAGGAUUUUACAACACAAUUUACUACUUCCAGGAGGGAGUAGUACUGAACAAGAUCAACCAUUGAUUCACCGGGUAUUUUAGACAGAGUAUUUUGUAUCCUUUUCCAGAUUCUAUCAUAGCAAAUGCUGUUUUUAAAACUGAAUCUGUCCAAAUGUUGGCUGUGUGUACAGGUGCCCGGCCUAGGCCUAGGCCAUGGUUCUCUUGCCGAGGAUGGAGACGAGAAAAGAGGACAGGGCAUUGGGGAUCCACAAAACAUUAACCGUCAAGCCUGGAAAGCAAGGGGUUCUUCUGUUUAGGAAGGACAACAAGGGAUUUUCUCAAAGAAAAAUUCGGGAUCUCUUUUGUGUGCCUUCCUGUUCUACCCCUUCACAAAAUAAUUCCACUAUUCACGUUGAGAUGUAGUCAAGCUUUUAAAUUGCGUCCGCUACCUCGCUAUUGCGACCACAACAGCGAUAGCAUCACCCUGCCACUACCGCUAUUAGUCUAAGGUUGCGCUAGAAAAUAACGUGUAGUCAUGAUGCGAAUGCAAUAUCAAUUGUCAGACCGCUAUAUCAUCCGCUAUCCACAACAUCUCUUGCUAUAAAGUGUUUAUUAUUCUGUUGUGUAAUCUAUUUGUGUAAAUGUGUCUUGCUUACAUGGUUGCACCUUGGACGACCAAAUAUUGUUCAGUUAUAGUUUAUAUUCUUAUAUAAAU
Molecule: long non-coding RNA, 1066 nt
Filed under: Triticum aestivum (bread wheat)
Lineage: Eukaryota; Viridiplantae; Streptophyta; Magnoliopsida; Poales; Poaceae
Description: long non-coding RNA (TAES_LNC021526)
Source: RNAcentral